AAAAGGGGUACUGUUCCCCACUGUAUAAGAU
This 31-nucleotide non-coding RNA is filed under the name Trypanosoma brucei brucei. The record is from RNAcentral. Lineage: Eukaryota; Euglenozoa; Kinetoplastea; Trypanosomatida; Trypanosomatidae.